UAGAGGUUUAGAAUAGUUUUCGAUUUUAGAUCAAAAAUUUUGAGAUGAGUGUUAUUGGUGCACUUUGUAAAUACUAGUUGAUACAAUAAAGUUGAAAUCGUUCAAUCUACAUCUUUCUGUUUUCAUCUACCGGUGUUUCUCUGGGUUCCAACAGUCUAAUCUGCGGCAAAGGAGCAGUGCGAUCGGAGGUAGCAAGGUUCUAUCAAGUUCAUCGGUUAAGAAAAGUUCCAAAUGGUACACAAUGACUGCUCCAACAUCUGCAACAGAACAACAUUAUUUGCAUAAGAAAUCAGAUAACAUUGAAGGACAAGAACAUGGCUUGCUGGUGGUUAUGUUUGCAAUUACCUCUGGAGUUAUCGUGGAUUUACAGAGAAGCCUAAAAA
This is a long non-coding RNA of Oryza brachyantha (malo sina), 383 nucleotides long. RefSeq lists it as uncharacterized. The transcript has 3 exons. The record is from RefSeq and is a predicted model, not a curated record. Lineage: Eukaryota; Viridiplantae; Streptophyta; Magnoliopsida; Poales; Poaceae.